This 560-nucleotide ribosomal RNA is filed under the name uncultured bacterium. RNAcentral's name for it is "bacterial SSU rRNA". It matches the Rfam family "Bacterial small subunit ribosomal RNA", at positions 338 to 916 of the family's 1533-position model. The record is from RNAcentral.
CCUACGGGAGGCAGCAGUGGGGAAUAUUGGACAAUGGGCGCAAGCCUGAUCCAGCAAUGCCGCGUGAGUGAUGAAGGCCUUAGGGUCGUAAAGCUCUUUUACCAGGGAUGAUAAUGACAGUACCUGGAGAAUAAGCUCCGGCUAACUCCGUGCCAGCAGCCGCGGUAAUACGGAGGGAGCUAGCGUUGUUCGGAAUUACUGGGCGUAAAGCGUACGUAGGCGGUUAUUCAAGUCAGAGGUGAAAGCCCGGGGCUCAACCCCGGAACGGCCUUUGAAACUAGGUAGCUAGAAUCUUGGAGAGGUCAGUGGAAUUCCGAGUGUAGAGGUGAAAUUCGUAGAUAUUCGGAAGAACACCAGUGGCGAAGGCGACUGACUGGACAAGUAUUGACGCUGAGGUACGAAAGCGUGGGGAGCAAACAGGAUUAGAUACCCUGGUAGUCCACGCCGUAAACGAUGAUAACUAGCUGUCCGGGCACUUGGUGCCUGGGUGGCGCAGCUAACGCAUUAAGUUAUCCGCCUGGGGAGUACGGUCGCAAGNUUAAACUUAAAGGAAUUGACGG